GUGAGGAAUAUUGGUCAAUGGACGGAAGUCUGAACCAGCCAUGCCGCGUGCAGGAAUAAGGUCCUAUGGAUUGUAAACUGCUUUUAUUCGGGAAUAAACCUCUUUACGUGUAGGGAGCUGAAGGUACCGAAGGAAUAAGCACCGGCUAACUCCGUGCCAGCAGCCGCGGUAAUACGGAGGGUGCAAGCGUUAUCCGGAAUCACUGGGUUUAAAGGGUACGUAGGCGGUUAAUUAAGUCAGUAGUGAAAGACUGUCGCUCAACGACGGAUGUGCUAUUGAUACUGGUUAACUUGAAUCAGGUUAGAGUUGGCGGAAUGGGUCAUGUAGCGGUGAAAUGCUUAGAUAUGACUUGGAACACCGAUAGCGAAGGCAGCUGACUGAGCCUUGAUUGACGCUGAGGUACGAAAGUGUGGGUAGCGAACAGGAUUAGAAACCCCAGUAGUCC
Molecule: ribosomal RNA, 445 nt
Filed under: uncultured bacterium
Lineage: Bacteria
Description: partial 16S ribosomal RNA
Rfam family: Bacterial small subunit ribosomal RNA
Source: RNAcentral